Molecule: long non-coding RNA, 2095 nt
Filed under: Canis lupus familiaris (dog)
Lineage: Eukaryota; Metazoa; Chordata; Mammalia; Carnivora; Canidae
Description: lncRNA (ENSCAFG00845026164.1)
Source: RNAcentral
UACCAUCGUAUCAUCUUUAUAUUCUGGAGAUUGCUUCAAUAUGAGAAAGACAAGCAACAAAUAAAUACAGAUGCUGGCCAGUAAGUUGAGCAGAAAUUAACUACUACAUCACUACAGAACACCUCUAACUCAAGACAUUUCACUUAGUCAUACUGAUCUACAUUCAUUCCAAAGCUGGCAAUGAACAGAACAACAUAAAUUGAGAAAAAUGGCCUCAGGCAGAGGAUAUAGCAAUUUAGAGAAGAAUAGGAGACAAACAUGAAUUGAAGCUUCUGAGAUGCUCAAGCUCAUUUCUUCUUACCUUUUCACACAUCACACUUUAGGAAACAGUUGCCUCCAUUCAAAGCUUAAAGAUAGGGACAACACUUAAGCAUAGAUGAUUUAAAAAUAAGCAAAAAAGCAUACGCAAAAGGCAGACUAAGGAAGGAGAAACUAAGGAACAAGUUCGGAAUAUUUUCGAGAAGCCUAUUUUAACAGGGAAACUUUAAAAUUCUACUGAAGGAUAUAAGAAGACUUGAUUAAAUGGAAAGACACAUCUUGUCACUAGAUAAAAGGACUGAAUAAGAUGCAAUUCUUGAUUCCCUAUAAAUUUAUCUAUAAAUUCAAACAAACUCCAAUCAAAAUAUCCGUAGACUUUGGGGAGGGAGCCUGAAAAAAAAAAAAUACUGCAGCACAUCUGGAAAAAUAAAUAGGUGAAAAUAUCCAAAAAAAUCUGAAAAAUAAUUUUUUUAAGGUUCUUUUCUUACCAGAUAAUAAAAUGUAUAUCAGAGAUUUGUUUGAAAAGAUUUAUGCUGGCACAAGAAUAACCAUUUUGAACAAAACAGGCAAGGAGUAGGCCCAAAGACAUGAGGCAAUGAAUUAUAUAAUAAAAGUGAAAAAAAAAUAAAAGUGGCAAAUAAUUACAUUGGAUAUUUAAUAUCCAAUUAAUGGUGUUUUUUUUUUUUAAAAUUAUUUAUUUGAGAGAGAGAGAGAGAGGUGCACAAGCAAGCAGGGAGAGGGGCAAAGGGAAAGACCUCUUUCAAGCACACCAGGCCCUGGGCUCAGGGCCUGAGGCUGGGCUUAAUCCCAAUACCCAUGAGCUCAUGACCUGAGCAGAAACCAAGAGUCAGACACUUAACUGAUUUGAGCCACCCAGACAUCCCUCAAUAAAUGGUGUUGAAACAACUGGUGAGUUGUGUUGAGAGAAAAAAAAAGUGGUAGAGCUACCUCAAUAUUUUCAUCAAAAUUAUUCCAGAAGGGUUAAAGCAUUAAAUGAAACUAUAAGAGUCCUGUAAGAAAAUAUGAGCAAUUUUCAAAAAUGAUCUUGAUGUGGACAGGUCUUUGUAAGCCAAAUACCCAAAAUCUAUUAUGGGAGAAAAAAAGGAUAAAUGUGACUGUAUUAACAUAAAAAUUCUGCAGGGACAAAGAAUGAAAAAAAAUCAAAAGAGAAAAUGUUUCAACAUACACAACAUUUUUCUUUAAUUCAAAGACAGUGAUUAUCAUUACUAAUCAAUUAGAAAAAGAUGUUCCUAACCUAAAUGCCCAUGAUAAGAAGCUGAUGCAAAAAUUAUGGUAUAUCCAUUUCAUAUAUGUUAAAACAAAGUAUACUAAAUGAAAAGUGAUAGUGAUAGAAUAGUAGUUACAUUAAUAAAGCUAUAGACAUUUUCAGGUAAAGUGUGGUUAUCUUUGAAGGCAGAAUUGUUUUAAAAUAAUUUUUAGGCUUUUCAGUAUAUUUUCCAAAUUUUCUAUAAUGAAUAUAUUUUAUAAUCAGAAUAUAUAAUAAAACAGUGAUAAAGUGACAAUUUUCAGUGAAGCAUAGUGCAAAGAAAAUAUACUUCAUCACCUUAGCUUACAUAACUCAUGAGCACAAGUGAGUAAACCACUUGCAAACAGUAACUUUUAUCAGCACUACAAGAGAAAAACAGCUUCAUUAUGUUUAAUUUUUUCUUUAUAAAUCCAUGUGUCACGCAAAAAUUUUAAAAAGUAAUCCAGGAGACUUCAUAUUAAUGUGUUUUUGAAAAUUCUUAACUCUAGGCUACUUUAUUCAAAUGAUAAAAUUUUGUAAGGUACCAUACCACAACAAAUCACAUUUUUACAGCACCAUAAUGAAGGCACA